GACGAACGCUGGCGGCGUGCUUAACACAUGCAAGUCGAACGGAAAGGCCCUGCUUUUGUGGGGUGCUCGAGUGGCGAACGGGUGAGUAACACGUGAGUAACCUGCCCUUGACUUUGGGAUAACUUCAGGAAACUGGGGCUAAUACCGGAUAGGAGCUCCUGCUGCAUGGUGGGGGUUGGAAAGUUUCGGCGGUUGGGGAUGGACUCGCGGCUUAUCAGCUUGUUGGUGGGGUAGUGGCUUACCAAGGCUUUGACGGGUAGCCGGCCUGAGAGGGUGACCGGCCACAUUGGGACUGAGAUACGGCCCAGACUCCUACGGGAGGCAGAAGUGGGGAAUAUUGCACAAUGGGCGGAAGCCUGAUGCAGCAACGCCGCGUGCGGGAUGACGGCCUUCGGGUUGUGAACCGCUUUCGCCUGUGACGAAGCGUGAGUGACGGUAAUGGGUAAAGAAGCACCGGCUAACUACGUG
RNAcentral lists this ribosomal RNA (468 nucleotides) under uncultured bacterium. RNAcentral's name for it is "partial 16S ribosomal RNA". It matches the Rfam family "Bacterial small subunit ribosomal RNA", at positions 28 to 507 of the family's 1533-position model. The record is from RNAcentral.